Small nuclear RNA from Nomascus leucogenys (northern white-cheeked gibbon), 108 nucleotides. The record is from Ensembl. Lineage: Eukaryota; Metazoa; Chordata; Mammalia; Primates; Hylobatidae.
GUGCUCACUUCAGCAGCACAUAUACUAAAAAUUGGAAUGAUAUGGAGAAGAUUUUCAUGACCCUGAGCAAGGAUGACAACACAAAUUAGUGAAGUGUUCCGUAUUUUA